RNAcentral lists this ribosomal RNA (253 nucleotides) under uncultured bacterium. RNAcentral's name for it is "partial 16S ribosomal RNA". It matches the Rfam family "Bacterial small subunit ribosomal RNA", at positions 524 to 776 of the family's 1533-position model. The record is from RNAcentral.
GACGAACCGUGCGAACGUUGUUCGGAAUCACUGGGCUUAAAGGGCGCGUAGGCGGGCGAUCAAGUCAGAGGUGAAAUCCCACGGCUCAACCGUGGAAGUGCCCCUGAUACUGAUUGUCUCGAGGGAGGUAGGGGCGUGCGGAACUUCCGGUGGAGCGGUGAAGUGCGUAGAUAUCGGAAGGAACACCGAUGGCGAAAGCAGCGCGCUGGACCUUUACUGACGCUGAGGCGCGAAAGCCAGGGGAGCAAACGGG